ACUUAAAUUGAAGAGUUUGAUCAUGGCUCAGAUUGAACGCUGGCGGCAGGCCUAACACAUGCAAGUCGAGCGGUAGCACAGAGAGCUUGCUCUCGGGUGACGAGCGGCGGACGGGUGAGUAAUGUCUGGGAAACUGCCUGAUGGAGGGGGAUAACUACUGGAAACGGUAGCUAAUACCGCAUAACGUCGCAAGACCAAAGUGGGGGACCUUCGGGCCUCAUGCCAUCAGAUGUGCCCAGAUGGGAUUAGCUAGUAGGUGGGGUAACGGCUCACCUAGGCGACGAUCCCUAGCUGGUCUGAGAGGAUGACCAGCCACACUGGAACUGAGACACGGUCCAGACUCCUACGGGAGGCAGCAGUGGGGAAUAUUGCACAAUGGGCGCAAGCCUGAUGCAGCCAUGCCGCGUGUGUGAAGAAGGCCUUCGGGUUGUAAAGCACUUUCAGCGGGGAGGAAGGCGAUAAGGUUAAUAACCUUGUCGAUUGACGUUACCCGCAGAAGAAGCACCGGCUAACUCCGUGCCAGCAGCCGCGGUAAUACGGAGGGUGCAAGCGUUAAUCGGAAUUACUGGGCGUAAAGCGCACGCAGGCGGUCUGUCAAGUCGGAUGUGAAAUCCCCGGGCUUAACCUGGGAACUGCAUUCGAAACUGGCAGGCUAGAGUCUUGUAGAGGGGGGUAGAAUUCCAGGUGUAGCGGUGAAAUGCGUAGAGAUCUGGAGGAAUACCGGUGGCGAAGGCGGCCCCCUGGACAAAGACUGACGCUCAGGUGCGAAAGCGUGGGGAGCAAACAGGAUUAGAUACCCUGGUAGUCCACGCCGUAAACGAUGUCGAUUUGGAGGUUGUGCCCUUGAGGCGUGGCUUCCGGAGCUAACGCGUUAAAUCGACCGCCUGGGGAGUACGGCCGCAAGGUUAAAACUCAAAUGAAUUGACGGGGGCCCGCACAAGCGGUGGAGCAUGUGGUUUAAUUCGAUGCAACGCGAAGAACCUUACCUGGUCUUGACAUCCACAGAACUUUCCAGAGAUGGAUUGGUGCCUUCGGGAACUGUGAGACAGGUGCUGCAUGGCUGUCGUCAGCUCGUGUUGUGAAAUGUUGGGUUAAGUCCCGCAACGAGCGCAACCCUUAUCCUUUGUUGCCAGCGGUUAGGCCGGGAACUCAAAGGAGACUGCCAGUGAUAAACUGGAGGAAGGUGGGGAUGACGUCAAGUCAUCAUGGCCCUUACGACCAGGGCUACACACGUGCUACAAUGGCAUAUACAAAGAGAAGCGACCUCGCGAGAGCAAGCGGACCUCAUAAAGUAUGUCGUAGUCCGGAUUGGAGUCUGCAACUCGACUCCAUGAAGUCGGAAUCGCUAGUAAUCGUAGAUCAGAAUGCUACGGUGAAUACGUUCCCGGGCCUUGUACACACCGCCCGUCACACCAUGGGAGUGGGUUGCAAAAGAAGUAGGUAGCUUAACCUUCGGGAGGGCGCUUACCACUUUGUGAUUCAUGACUGGGGUGAAGUCGUAACAAGGUAACCGUAGGGGAACCUGCGGUUGGAUCACCUCCUUACCUUAAAGAA
RNAcentral lists this ribosomal RNA (1554 nucleotides) under Klebsiella pneumoniae. RNAcentral describes it as "bacterial SSU rRNA". It matches the Rfam family "Bacterial small subunit ribosomal RNA". The record is from RNAcentral. Lineage: Bacteria; Pseudomonadati; Pseudomonadota; Gammaproteobacteria; Enterobacterales; Enterobacteriaceae. RNAcentral also lists the same sequence under 1 other name.